GAUGAACGCUGGCGGCGUGCCUAAUACAUGCAAGUCGAGCGAACGGACGAGAAGCUUGCUUCUCUGAUGUUAGCGGCGGACGGGUGAGUAACACGUGGAUAACCUACCUAUAAGACUGGGAUAACUUCGGGAAACCGGAGCUAAUACCGGAUAAUAUUUUGAACCGCAUGGUUCAAAAGUGAAAGACGGUCUUGCUGUCUGUUCUAGAUGGAUCCGCGCUGCAUUAGCUAGUUGGUAAGGUAACGGCUUACCAAGGCAACGAUGCAUAGCCGACCUGAGAGGGUGAUCGGCCACACUGGAACUGAGACACGGACCAGACGCCUACGGGAGGCAGCAGUAGGGAAUCUUACGCAAUGGGCGAAAGCCUGACGGAGCAGCGCCGCGUGAGUGAUGAAGGUCUUCGGAUCGUAAAACUCUGUUAUUAGGGAAGAACAUAUGUGUAAGUAACUGUGCACAUCUUGACGGUACCUAAUCAGAAAGCCACGGCUAACUACGUG
This 497-nucleotide ribosomal RNA is filed under the name uncultured bacterium. Its description in RNAcentral is "partial 16S ribosomal RNA". It matches the Rfam family "Bacterial small subunit ribosomal RNA", at positions 28 to 507 of the family's 1533-position model. The record is from RNAcentral.